This 253-nucleotide ribosomal RNA is filed under the name uncultured bacterium. Its description in RNAcentral is "partial 16S ribosomal RNA". It matches the Rfam family "Bacterial small subunit ribosomal RNA", at positions 524 to 776 of the family's 1533-position model. The record is from RNAcentral.
UACGGAGGGUGCAAGCGUUGUCUGGAUUUAUUGGGUUUAAAGGGUGCGUAGGCGGUUUAUUAAGUCAGUGGUGAAAGACGGUCGCUCAACGAUUGCAGUGCCAUUGAUACUGGUAGACUUGAGUGUGAUUGAGGUAGCUGGAAUGGAUAGUGUAGCGGUGAAAUGCAUAGAUAUUAUCCAGAACACCGAUUGCGAAGGCAGGUUACUAAGUCAUAACUGACGCUGAGGCACGAAAGUGUGGGGAUCAAACAGG